Molecule: long non-coding RNA, 1051 nt
Filed under: Gadus morhua (Atlantic cod)
Lineage: Eukaryota; Metazoa; Chordata; Actinopteri; Gadiformes; Gadidae
Description: lncRNA (ENSGMOG00000037256.1)
Source: RNAcentral
UGUAGAAAGGACGACUUGGUCAAAUGCAUAGAAUACUUGUGUAGAAACGUGAUUUUAUAAUUCGGAUAGAAGGAUUAAAGGUCACGUCAUUCAACAGGAGAAACUGGGUCUGCAGCUUCGCUGGGUCCUUGAGGAUAGGCUGAGAGAGGCCCCUGCCCGGCGUGUGCCUGUCCAGGGACGGGCUCAUGAAGGACCCCCCGAACACCCUGCUGGCCUGCUCCCUGAUCGCCACAGAGGUCCUUGAUCACCUGAAGACCUCGGUGAGCCCUCCUGACUACAACAAUGAGGCAGAGGAGUGUCUUCACGGGGAACAGUUGUUGGCCCCCGCUAAGGACCCCCAGAAUAUCCUGCUGGCCUCUAAUGACCCGGACCCCCAGAAUCCCCCUGAUGACUUCAAGGGAGCAGAGGAGUGUCUCCACGGGGAAGACAUAACGUUGGCCUCCUCCCCUAAGGUCAGUCAUCUUAGUAACUAGUGUAGCAGCCUAUCACACAGGCCACAACACGGUGUCAUUUACAGUAACAAAGGUUUCUGUCAUUCCCAAGUAUAACCUACAGAGUGCUGCCUUCUGGCUGAGUCCUUUCAGUCUAACAGUACAUGAAACACAAAGCAACGAUUUUACGCAUGGGUGAUAAUAUGUUGCCAAAAAUGUUGUUACUUAGAACCAUACCAAUUUAUACUUUUUUUACUCAAGGGAAGCAAAUGGAUGAUAUUCAUCCAUCACCAUCAUAGCCAAAAAGCAAAGCUAUAUUAUAUUGUAUAUCGUACAUAAAUAUGGUAGAUAAUUGUUAACUUGUAACGUUAAUUUGCAUCGCAAGAUAAGUGCCUUCCUAUUUGGAUUAAUAUAGGCUCCUCGGGGCUUCCGUAGUUCGAGUUUGACUUCCUGUGAUGACCAGCAGAUGUAUGCCGUGAUAUGCAUAGACAUCUUAUAGAAAUAUAAUAUAAGAUGUCUAUGGUGAUAUGUGCCAUACCUAUAAAGUUAUUAAUGGUCACUACGCCUCGAGUAUUCUUCCUUUACAACCCGGCCGGCCGCCUGUAUUGGGCAGAAGUUAC